This 496-nucleotide ribosomal RNA is filed under the name uncultured bacterium. RNAcentral describes it as "partial 16S ribosomal RNA". It matches the Rfam family "Bacterial small subunit ribosomal RNA", at positions 28 to 506 of the family's 1533-position model. The record is from RNAcentral.
GAUGAACGCUGGCGGCGUGCCUAAUACAUGCCAGUCGAGCGAACAGACGAGGAGCUUGCUCCUUUGACGUUAGCGGCGGACGGGUGAGUAACACGUAGGUAACCUACCUAUAAGACUGGGAUAACUUCGGGAAACCGGAGCUAAUACCGGAUAAUAUUUCGAACCGCAUGGUUCGAUAGUGAAAGAUGGCUUUGCUAUCACUUAUAGAUGGACCUGCGCCGUAUUAGCUAGUUGGUAAGGUAACGGCUUACCAAGGCAACGAUACGUAGCCGACCUGAGAGGGUGAUCGGCCACACUGGAACUGAGACACGGUCCAGACUCCUACGGGAGGCAGCAGUAGGGAAUCUUCCGCAAUGGGCGAAAGCCUGACGGAGCAACGCCGCGUGAGUGAUGAAGGUCUUCGGAUCGUAAAACUCUGUUAUUAGGGAAGAACAAACGUGUAAGUAACUGUGCACGUCUUGACGGUACCUAAUCAGAAAGCCACGGCUAACUACGU